Molecule: ribosomal RNA, 1372 nt
Filed under: unidentified
Description: bacterial SSU rRNA
Rfam family: Bacterial small subunit ribosomal RNA
Source: RNAcentral
GUCGAACGAUGAUGCCCAGCUUGCUGGGUGGAUUAGUGGCGAACGGGUGAGUAACACGUGAGUAACCUGCCCCUGACUCUGGGAUAAGCGUUGGAAACGACGUCUAAUACUGGAUAUGACUGCCGGCCGCAUGGUCUGGUGGUGGAAAGAUUUUUUGGUUGGGGAUGGACUCGCGGCCUAUCAGCUUGUUGGUGAGGUAAUGGCUCACCAAGGCGACGACGGGUAGCCGGCCUGAGAGGGUGACCGGCCACACUGGGACUGAGACACGGCCCAGACUCCUACGGGAGGCAGCAGUGGGGAAUAUUGCACAAUGGGCGAAAGCCUGAUGCAGCAACGCCGCGUGAGGGAUGACGGCCUUCGGGUUGUAAACCUCUUUUAGUAGGGAAGAAGCGUAAGUGACGGUACCUGCAGAAAAAGCACCGGCUAACUACGUGCCAGCAGCCGCGGUAAUACGUAGGGUGCAAGCGUUGUCCGGAAUUAUUGGGCGUAAAGAGCUCGUAGGCGGUUUGUCGCGUCUGCUGUGAAAUCCCGAGGCUCAACCUCGGGCUUGCAGUGGGUACGGGCAGACUAGAGUGCGGUAGGGGAGAUUGGAAUUCCUGGUGUAGCGGUGGAAUGCGCAGAUAUCAGGAGGAACACCGAUGGCGAAGGCAGAUCUCUGGGCCGUAACUGACGCUGAGGAGCGAAAGCGUGGGGAGCGAACAGGAUUAGAUACCCUGGUAGUCCACGCCGUAAACGUUGGGCGCUAGAUGUAGGGACCUUUCCACGGUUUCUGUGUCGUAGCUAACGCAUUAAGCGCCCCGCCUGGGGAGUACGGCCGCAAGGCUAAAACUCAAAGGAAUUGACGGGGGCCCGCACAAGCGGCGGAGCAUGCGGAUUAAUUCGAUGCAACGCGAAGAACCUUACCAAGGCUUGACAUACACCGGAAACGGCCAGAGAUGGUUGCCCCCUUGUGGUCGGUGUACAGGUGGUGCAUGGUUGUCGUCAGCUCGUGUCGUGAGAUGUUGGGUUAAGUCCCGCAACGAGCGCAACCCUCGUUCUAUGUUGCCAGCGCGUUAUGGCGGGGACUCAUAGGAGACUGCCGGGGUCAACUCGGAGGAAGGUGGGGAUGACGUCAAAUCAUCAUGCCCCUUAUGUCUUGGGCUUCACGCAUGCUACAAUGGCCGGUACAAAGGGCUGCGAUACCGUAAGGUGGAGCGAAUCCCAAAAAGCCGGUCUCAGUUCGGAUUGAGGUCUGCAACUCGACCUCAUGAAGUCGGAGUCGCUAGUAAUCGCAGAUCAGCAACGCUGCGGUGAAUACGUUCCCGGGCCUUGUACACACCGCCCGUCAAGUCAUGAACAGUCGGUAACACCCGAAGCCGGUGGCCUAACCCUU